Molecule: transfer RNA, 68 nt
Filed under: Megaerops ecaudatus (Temminck's tailless fruit bat)
Lineage: Eukaryota; Metazoa; Chordata; Mammalia; Chiroptera; Pteropodidae
Description: tRNA-Val
Source: RNAcentral
CAAAGUGUAGCUUAUCCAAAGCACCUGGCCUACACCCAGAAGAUUCCAUUCAACCAUGGCCACUUUGA